This 1062-nucleotide small RNA is filed under the name Arabidopsis thaliana (thale cress). Its description in RNAcentral is "ATSL276350". Lineage: Eukaryota; Viridiplantae; Streptophyta; Magnoliopsida; Brassicales; Brassicaceae. The record is from RNAcentral.
UUAUUUUUUGACAAUUUUAUCAUGUCUUUUAAAACAAUUAAGGAAUGCAGACCUCUGUUGUUUCUUCUUUUUGAGGUUGUGAUUCUUUCUCUGUGGGUGCAGUCCCAUUAUCUUCAUCAUCUGACAAAAUUACAUAUGCUUCUUGAUCUUCAGUCUCAUCAUGUUCAUCAUGUUCUUCUACGUUUUCUUCUUUUGGAACCUGUAUACCAAAACAUCAAAACAAAUUUUUAUUUUUUGACAAUUUUAUCAUGUCUUUUUAAACAAUUAAGGAAUGCAUACCUCUGUUGUUUCUUCUUUUUGAGGUUGUGAUUCUUUCUCUGUGGGUGCAGUCCCAUUAUCUUCAUUAUCUGACAAAAUUACAUAUGCUUCUUGAUCUGCAGCAUCAUUAUAUUCAUUAUGUUCUUCUACUUUUUCUUCUUUUCCUUCUUCUCUUUCCAUUUCUUCAUCGCCUUGUUUGGGAUUCUCUUGUUUUUCUGUUUCUUCAACAUUGCAAGUAGAAUUUUCAUAUACCAGUUUUACCUUCUCACCAAAGGACAUUGAUUUCCUUUUUCUGCUUUGAUGCACAACUGUUUCAAUUGCAGGUUUCAAGACAUGAUCAAUUCUUCCUUGAUGUCCUUGUUCCACUUGAAUCCAUCCCUGACACCAAUCCUUCUUGCUCAUUCUAUAUCCUUUGAUCACAAGAUCAAAAACAUCCAACAGAUCCUUGUCUUCAGGAUUCUUCUGUGAAACCAAGUGGUCGUAUUCAUGAGUAUGAACACCAACUAUUGGUGUCACUUCAACCUGCAAAGAUAAACAAAAUUCCAAACUGUGUAAAAAUAAUGCACAAUUCUUAAUUAACCUUUUAAAAUCCGUUGUAAAUAGUUUAAAUUGCUUUUAACCCUUUGUAAAUCCUUAAAACUUGAUUGUAAAAACUAUUGUAAAACAUACUCUUUAUUUAUAAACAGUGUUUAAAACAUAAAAAAAGCCACAACUAAGAAAAUGUACCUUGUCACCAUCUGCUAUCAUUGUUAUAGCUUUUGCACUUGGAGACGAUGUUGAUCUCCAUUGGAGAAUUAAUGGAAU